UUGUAUCCUGAGACUUUGCUGAAGUUGCUUAUCAGCUUAAGGAGAUUUUGGGCUGAGACAAUGGGGUUUUCUAAAUAUACAAUCAUGUCAUCUGCAGUUAUGCUUUAUAUGAAUGAAUUCAGAUUCCUGCUUCCAGGAAAAGAAAAAUUGUGGGUUCAUUGCAGAAAAAACUUCCUGAUGUUUGAUCUUGACGUUUGCCUUCUUUCUUGAGGUGAUGUAGAAGCUUCACUGUAGUUUAGUGGUGAUUCUAGAAAUGGAGUGACAUAAAUGAUCAUUGCCUACACUUUAAAAUCCAAUUCCUUUUCCUUAUUUAUGACUCAGUCAUACUUGGAAGUGAAGCUCAGGAUUCCUGUGUUUAAAAUGCUUCCUAAAUAUUGUAAGGAAGCUGACAGGAAACAGUGUUUGGGGAAGUAAUUUUCUAGGAUCCUCUAUAAUGUUCCCUCUUUACUGAGUAUCCUACUGAGCUGGCAAUUAAAGAACUCCCAGCAAGAGUCAUGUGACUUUUUCUAAUAAAACAGGUCUCGCUGUCUCUUAAGCCGGACCUGAUCACCUUUUUGGAGCAAAGGAAAGAGCCCUGGAAUGUGAAGAGUGAGGAGACAGUAGCCAUCCAGCCAGAUAUGUUUUCUCAUGAUACUCAAGGCCUCUUGAGAAAAAAGUGCAUAGAAGCAUCAUUCCAAAAAUUGAUAUUGGAUAGAUAUGGGAGCUGUGGCCCUCAGAAUUUACACUUAAGGAAAGAGUGGGAAAGUAAGGAGAAAAAUCAGUACAAUAAAUCUGAUACAACAUUAAGCCAAGGCAUAAGCCCCAGAAGACAUCAGAAAACUCAUUUUCUACAGAACCAUUACAAAUGUAAAAUAUGUGAGAAAGUCUUUCAUGAAUGCACCAACCAUAUCCAUCAGAGUAUCCAUAUUCAAGAGAAGUCUGCCAAAUGUAUCAAGUGUGUAGAAACUUUUAUGCAGUCAUCAAAACAUACUCAGCCUCAGAAAAUCCAUGUUGGAGAAAAGUCACACAGAUGUAAUAAUGGUGAGAAAAUCCUUAGUAAAUUGUCAAGUCUAAGAAACCAUAAGAUAAUCCAUAAUGAAGAGAAACCUUACAAAUGUAAAGAAUGUGACAAAGCCUUUAACCAUCGUUCACACUUUACUUAACAUCAAAUAAUACAUACUGGAGAGAAACCAUAAAAAUGUAAAGAAUGUGGCAAAGCCUUCAAUUCUAGUUCACAUUUUACUAUACAUCAGAGAAUUCACACUGGAGAAAAACUUUACAAAUGUAAAGCAUGUACCAAAUAUUUUACUUAUUCUUCAAAUCUUGGGCAUCAGAGAAUUCAUACUGGAGAGAAACCUUACAAAUGUAAAGAAUGUGGUAAAUCAUUUAAAGUGUCUUCAGCCCUUACUCAGCACAAGAGAAUUCAUAGGGGAAAGAAGCCCUACAAAUGUAAGGAAUGCAGCAAAACCUUUAACGGUAGGUCAUACCUAACUAAACAUCAGAGAAUUCAUACCAGAGAAAAACUUACACAUGUAAAUCAUGUAGCAAAUCUUUUUCUCGUCCCUCGAGUCUUAUUAUCCACCAGAGAAUUCAUACUGGAGAAAAACCCUAUAAAUGCAAAGAAUGUGGCAAAGCCUUUAAUUGUAGUUCAUGCCUUACUUGACAUCGAAGCAUUCAUACUAGAGAGAAACCCUACAAAUGUAAGGAAUGCAGCAAAGCCUUUAACUAUAGGUCAUACCUAAUUAACAUCAGAGAAUUCAUACCAGAGAAAAACUUGACAAAUGUAAAUCUUUUUCCCAUUCCUCAAGUCUUUUUGUCCACCAGAGAAUUCAUACUGGGGAAAAACCCAAUAAAUGCAAAGAAUGUGGCAAAGCCUUUAAUUAUAGUUCACGCCUUAAUCAACAUCAAAUAAUUCAUACUAGAGAGAAACCCCACAUAUGUAAAGAAUGUGGCAAGUUAUUUAAUCGAUGCUCAACCCUUUCUCGACAUAAGAUAAUUCAUAUUAGAGAAUAUCUAUAGUUGUGGUAAAUGUGGAAAGAGUUUUAUCCAAAAUUUAGAACCUAAAAAUCACCAUAGAGUUUAUAGGGAAACAGACUUUGCACACUGAAUAAAUGGGAGGAAGUAUUUAAUCAAAACUCAAGUCUGAAUGUGUCAGGACUUACACAAAAAAGGACUAAAGCACAGAUCCCAGACUUUACAUUAAAUAAGAAUAUUUAUUAUGGAGGAUUACUCUAAAGCCAAAGCAGUUACUUAUUUUGUUAUGUGUUUCAAAUGAGCAAAAACAUUGAUGUUUGGACAAGUAAUUAUUCAGUGAGCACUUUAUUUGUAUUGAAAAUAUUUGAGAUUUGUAUAAAGCAAACAAUAAUUCAGUUCUCAAAUUAGUUGUUAUACCUUAAUGCCUAGUGUUUAUAUAAAAACAUAUAGUCUAUUUUUUCUACAUCAGAGCUACGAGAGGUUGUUUUAUAGUAGAUGAACAUCAUUAAUAUCAAUUUAUUUUCAUGGAAGUUUAAUGGCAAAUGUAGAAUACGUGAAGAAAAUCUAAAAGACACUCUUUGUGUUUGAAUCAUAAAACAGUAAUGCAUGUAAAUAUAUAGUACAUAUUUAGGGCAUUAUUAUUCUAUACUAAAAGAAGAAUAUUCUGAGUUUAUUACAUCAAUUGUUCCUUAAGUAGAAAAAAACUGGUCAGUUAUUUGAAAUACCAGCAUACCUUUAUACUA
Molecule: long non-coding RNA, 2696 nt
Organism: Macaca nemestrina (pig-tailed macaque)
Lineage: Eukaryota; Metazoa; Chordata; Mammalia; Primates; Cercopithecidae
Source: Ensembl